RNAcentral lists this transfer RNA (70 nucleotides) under Ictidomys tridecemlineatus (thirteen-lined ground squirrel). RNAcentral's name for it is "Spermophilus tridecemlineatus (thirteen-lined ground squirrel) tRNA". It matches the Rfam family "tRNA". Rfam says of the family: Transfer RNA (tRNA) molecules are approximately 80 nucleotides in length. Their secondary structure includes four short double-helical elements and three loops (D, anti-codon, and T loops). Further hydrogen bonds mediate the characteristic L-shaped molecular structure. tRNAs have two regions of fundamental functional importance: the anti-codon, which is responsible for specific mRNA codon recognition, and the 3' end, to which the tRNAs corresponding amino acid is attached (by aminoacyl-tRNA synthetases). tRNAs cope with the degeneracy of the genetic code in two manners: having more than one tRNA (with a specific anti-codon) for a particular amino acid; and 'wobble' base-pairing, i.e. permitting non-standard base-pairing at the 3rd anti-codon position. Lineage: Eukaryota; Metazoa; Chordata; Mammalia; Rodentia; Sciuridae. The record is from Rfam by way of RNAcentral.
GGUGUUGUGGCUCAAGCGGUAGAGUGCUCAUCUUGCACAUGUGAGGCAUGGGGUUCAAUCCUCAGCACCA